Molecule: long non-coding RNA, 1640 nt
Filed under: Gallus gallus (chicken)
Lineage: Eukaryota; Metazoa; Chordata; Aves; Galliformes; Phasianidae
Source: RNAcentral
CAAUAUAUUAUCUAAAUCCAAGUUUCUUUGAGGACUUUUUGGAUAUAUGUCAACAUUCAAUAGAGAUAAAAUAGUGUAUGUUUUAGGCUACUGCACGGCUGAUUAUUGCUGCCUGAUUAGUAUUUGAUCAAAUCCCAUCCUUUUAUUUUCCUGAGACGAUUCAGCUCCUGCACAGCAGAGGAGAGCCGCCUCAUUCCGUCUGACAAGUGUUGUGCUGCGCAGCGCUCCAUCACGUCCGUGUAAACAUCCAUCUGCUCGCUGUAUGGGCUCUGCAAGCAGAACAGUUUUAAUUUAUCAUAAACUUCAUAUAACUCAUUAGCUUUCAUCUUUACGCCGCGUGUAUAGAAAUGAAUUUGGAGUGUACUCACAGGGGUUUUUCUGAGGAGUUUGCUGUACAAAUAUUUAUGGACUUUUCCCUUUGUAGUGCAGGCUGUGGUGGAACAGCUCUGCCAUCAGCGGCUUGGGCUGCGGGAGAGGCUUUGCCAAAAGCCCUCGUUUAUUUACCGCGUGGCACUUUGUAUUGAAAUUUGUUUUGCUGCUAUGUGUAAAAAUCCACGGCUCUCCUGGGAGGAGAUGAGAGUUCUCCUGUACUCCAGUAAAAGGGGGAAAAAGCCUCCCAGAAAAUUCAGUGUGUCUGUGUGUGUGUGAGCACAACUUUAUAGCCAUGCACAUUCCGGCUGCUUUCUGCUGCGCUCAUUCAGAAAACACAUAUAUGGAGAUUUUAUUGUGUUUUUUUGUUUUAAGGACAAUAAUUUGUCUCCGAAUUCCCCUUGUUUAUGUUUCUGUCUAUAUCUCUUUCCUCUUCCGUGUUUUAUUUAGUAAGGCUUCAUCUGUGAGAUUUCCCCGCAAAACAAUUGAUACAUUCUCGGCACGCUGUGGCGAGGGAAAAAAAGCCCUUAGAUUAAUGGUCAGUGUCUCAUACACACAAAUUUGUGUUACGAUACUACAGAGAAGCUGCGAAUUACUGACAAGAUCUAGAAUAAUUCCUAAUGCUGUCGAAGGCUUCAUUUUCUCCUCCGCAUGAUGGAUGAGGCAUAAGAAGUGCUUUCUGAGAUCGUUAAUGUGCAUCAUUCUGUUAAGUGUUAUUAAAGUCCGUCUGUCUUAGGGAGCAGAAACAAUAUCUUAUCCCUUAUUUUCCUCUCUCCCCUCUCAACUCCAGCUGCAGAUCCUCCUGGUACUGACGUGGCCUUUUGUUGGUGCUCUCCUUUUAACGGCCAGUUUACACCGUGGCGUUUAGGUUGGUUUGAGGAUGGUAUUUUCCCUUUUAAUCAAAAUACUGGCUCAUCACAUGGGAAAGAACACGUCCUUUCAAGAUUAGGCUAUCAGUAACCUGCAGAUAAUAGGAAGGCCACCGAGGAUCUCUAGCGAGCGUUGUGAUUCAGGUUAGGGAAUAUGGGUGCCCUUUGAUGUGGAGCUGUGCCUGUGCUGGGGCCGCGUGGCCGUGCGGUGCUGCCCGUGGCGGCUGGGAGUGAGCAGUGCCACCUGGGAGCGGUGCCGGCCCAGGUGCAGCCCAUUAGCCAAAGCCAGCUCAGCCAAACAGAAGAAUUCACUUUAAAGGUUUCUAACCUUUCUUAAGAGCCAAUUUUUCCCUAAGCCCUGUGAUAAUAAAAUAGGCUAUAAUUUAUAGAGCGCUUUCCGUG